AGUCAACGUACGUGUGUGGACUCACUCAUCAGAAUAAGAGUGUGCUGGAAGAACAGCGAUAAUUUCAGAAGGAAAUGUUGUACAUAGUAAAGUUCGAAAAAUGAGGUCAAAUCCGGGUUUGAGUUUACCGGGUCAAACAGGUCCCUAAGCCAAGAGCCUCAUUAAUAGUGGCUAUGGUCCCUUGCCUCACCUUGGAUAACAUGCUAGUUCCUCGGCUACUUAUAGCUAGUGGAUUC
Equus quagga is the source of this 236-nucleotide long non-coding RNA. RefSeq lists it as uncharacterized. The record is from RefSeq and is a predicted model, not a curated record. The transcript is spliced from 3 exons. NCBI's taxonomy places the organism in Eukaryota, Metazoa, Chordata, Mammalia, Perissodactyla, Equidae.